Molecule: ribosomal RNA, 685 nt
Filed under: Pachyphlodes pfisteri
Lineage: Eukaryota; Fungi; Ascomycota; Pezizomycetes; Pezizales; Pezizaceae
Description: eukaryotic LSU rRNA
Rfam family: Eukaryotic large subunit ribosomal RNA
Source: RNAcentral
UUCCUUGGAAAAGGGCAUCAUAGAGGGUGAGAAUCCUGUUUAUGACCUUUGUACUUCUCCUUUAUGAAUCUCCUUCAAUGAGUCGAGUUGUUUGGGAAUGCAGCUCUAAAUGGGUGGUAAAUUCCAUCUAAAGCUAAAUAUUGGCAAGAGACCGAUAGCGCACAAGUAGAGUGAUCGAAAGAUGAAAAGAACUCUGAACAGAGAGUUAAAGAGUACGUGAAAUUGUUGAAAGGGAAGCACUUGUGACCAGACAAAUUUGCAAUUAAUCAGCCAUCAGUUUUGGUGGUGCACUUGAUUGUAGGUGGGUCAGCAUCAGUUAUAGCAGUGGGACAAAGAUCAAAAGAAUGUAGCUCCUCUUUGAGGAGUGUUAUAGCUUUUGGUUUAAUACCGCUUGCCAUAACUGAGGAUAGCACUUUAAUGUAAGGAUGCUGACAUAAUGGUCCUAAGUGACCCGUCUUGAAACACGGACCAAGGAGUCUAACAUCUAUGCGAGUAUUUGGGUGUAAGCCCUUAUGCGUAAUGAAAGUAAAUGGAGGUGGAAACCAUUAGGUGCACCAUCGACCGAUCCUGAAGUUUUCUGAUGGAUUUGAGUAGGAGCAUAGCUGUUGGGACCCGAAAGAUGGUGAACUAUGCCUGAAUAGGGUGAAGCCAGAGGAAACUCUGGUGGAGGCUCGCAGCGGUUCUG